This 171-nucleotide unclassified non-coding RNA is filed under the name uncultured Mucoromycotina. RNAcentral's name for it is "sequence contains ITS1". Lineage: Eukaryota; Fungi. The record is from RNAcentral.
UAAUAAGUGUUUUCUGGGCACUUUUUAAAAUACCAUACCCACCUUGUGUGCAAUGUUAAGAGGAGAGCGAGUGAAAGGCUUUCGAGCUCUAGCAAAACUCUUCUCUAAUAUCAACCUUUAUUAUUUCAACCUAUUUGUCUUAAAAAUAUUAUGAAUACUUAAUUCAAAAUA